Molecule: ribosomal RNA, 469 nt
Filed under: uncultured bacterium
Lineage: Bacteria
Description: partial 16S ribosomal RNA
Rfam family: Bacterial small subunit ribosomal RNA
Source: RNAcentral
GAUGAACGCUGGCGGCGUGCUUAACACAUGCCAGUCGAACGGUGAACACGGAGCUUGCUCUGUGGGGUCAGUGGCGAACGGGUGAGUAACACGUGAGCAACCUGCCCCUGACUCUGGGAUAAGCGCUGGAAACGGCGUCUAAUACUGGAUAUGUGACGUGACCGCAUGGUCUGCGUUUGGAAAGAUUUUUCGGUUGGGGAUGGGCUCGCGGCCUAUCAGCUUGUUGGUGAGGUAAUGGCUCACCAAGGCGUCGACGGGUAGCCGGCCUGAGAGGGUGACCGGCCACACUGGGAUUGAGACACGGCCCAGACUCCUACGGGAGGCAGCAGUGGGGAAUAUUGCACAAUGGGCGAAAGCCUGAUGCAGCAACGCCGCGUGAGGGAUGACGGCCUUCGGGUUGUAAACCUUUUUUAGCAGGGAAGAAGCGAAAGUGAUGGUACCUGCAGAAAAAGCGCCGGCUAACUACGUG